Siniperca chuatsi (mandarin fish) is the source of this 550-nucleotide long non-coding RNA. RefSeq lists it as uncharacterized. The record is from RefSeq and is a predicted model, not a curated record. The transcript is spliced from 2 exons. Lineage: Eukaryota; Metazoa; Chordata; Actinopteri; Centrarchiformes; Sinipercidae.
GCUCAUCGAAACAAGGAAACACUCUCCUGGCGUCUGUUGGUUGCAUGUUGGUGGCGGCAAGGAAUCUAUGCAAUACAGAGAAAGAAAGUCAGCCUUUCAUUAUCAGGAAUAUACUGAAGGAAUAAUGAGGAAAUACUGGUGGAAACAGUGGUCAUUUUGUGUCCACAAAGUCCAUAACACACACAGGAAGCCAGAUGGUAGAGACAGACACAGGCAAACACAUACAAAUGCCAGUCCAGGACCACUGAGCAACAUCUCAGUGACCAGUACCAGUCCUUUGGUCUAUGAAUUUGAAUACGGUAAGUGUAAAUAAAUGUGUAAAAACAGCAAAGACAUGAGUGAGUGAGUGGUGACUAGAGGGAUAUCCUGUUUCUGGUAGGUUUUCCUGGGACAGAACAAAGUAUAAAUAAUGUGACAAACUGUGUGUGUGUGUGUGUGUGUGUGUGUGUGUGUGUGUGUGUGUGUGUGUAAGCACACGUCUCUACUCAGUGAUUUCAUACUGUGUUUGGGUUCUUUUUACUCCAUGGGCCUGUCAUGAUAAUUGGACCCA